This 308-nucleotide ribosomal RNA is filed under the name uncultured bacterium. RNAcentral describes it as "bacterial SSU rRNA". It matches the Rfam family "Bacterial small subunit ribosomal RNA", at positions 46 to 334 of the family's 1533-position model. The record is from RNAcentral.
AGGCUUAACACAUGCAAGUCGAGCGAGAAUUGGGGCUUCGGCUCCAUAGUAAAGCGGCGGACGGGUGCGUAACACGUGGGUAAUGUGCCCUCUUGCGGGGGAUAACAGUCCGAAAGGAUUGCUAAUACCGCAUACGUCGGCGAGGUCUUCGGAUCUCGCCGGGAAAGGUGGCCUCUCCAUGGAAGCUACCACAGGAGGAGCAGCCCGCGGCCCAUCAGCUAGUAGGCGGGGUAAUGGCCCACCUAGGCUAAGACGGGUAGCUGGUCUGAGAGGAUGAUCAGCCACACUGGAACUGAGACACGGUCCAG